Molecule: ribosomal RNA, 253 nt
Filed under: uncultured bacterium
Lineage: Bacteria
Description: partial 16S ribosomal RNA
Rfam family: Bacterial small subunit ribosomal RNA
Source: RNAcentral
UACGGAGGAUGCGAGCGUUAUCCGGAUUUAUUGGGUUUAAAGGGUGCGUAGGCGGGCUGUUAAGUCAGCGGUCAAAUGUCGGGGCUCAACCCCGGGACUGCAUUUGGAACUGUUAAGCUGGAGUGUCGGAGAGGCAGGCGGAAUUCCUAGUGUAGCGGUGAAAUGCGUAGAUAUCACGCAGAACCCCGAUUGCGAAGGCAGCAUACCGGUGCACAACUGACGCUCAGGCACGAAAGCGUGGGUAUCGAACAGG